RNAcentral lists this transfer RNA (94 nucleotides) under Mycolicibacterium poriferae. RNAcentral describes it as "tRNA-Leu". Lineage: Bacteria; Bacillati; Actinomycetota; Actinomycetes; Mycobacteriales; Mycobacteriaceae. The record is from RNAcentral.
GGGCCCCUGGCGCAGGAGUACGUGGUGGCCCAUGAGUUCGGCCACCACGUGCAGAAUCUCGAGGGGGUGCUGGGCCGCGCCCAGCGGGACCCGC